UGUCUAUAUUUUAUAAUAAACUAUCAAAUUGAAAAUAUUAUGAAAAUUAACCUAUAUUUCUUUUUUAUCCAGGAGAAUGUUGCUUCUAUGCAUAGAAGAAAACAUGAAGCACCAUUCGAAGAUGGGCGAUUUGUAGCAACGCACCACUUCCAUGUCAUCUGAGAAAGGUGAGUAUUGAGGUGAUGACAUCGAGGCAACUAGUCAACUGAGGUGUGGCAUGAGAGGGACACGAGCUGAUGGUUGAGUUUAUUUACAAAGGUUUUUGUUUUUUUAGUUGUGCACACAUACUAGGAUGUUUAUUUUAUGAUUUGGAAGGUUUAUUUUAUUUGAUAUUUAGUCAUAUUUCACACUUUGAUUUUAAUAAAGGAUAUUUCUACUAAAUUUUUCUAUGCAUAUUGAAUGAUUACUUAAUGUGUAUGACAUAAUUGCCCUAAUUGAAUAACAUUUUCAUUAAAGAGCAUGACCUCUGAUGUGGGAUGCAACAAAUCCCAUCCAUAACUUUUUAUAAAUUGUACUAAUAAUUAUUUAUCGCUAAUUUUAUGUAUUUAUCAUUAUAGCAAUUACCCCACAAGUUUCAUUCUCGGGUGGUGAAGAAGUAAAUUGUAGUGUUGUUACUUUAUUAUAAUGUUUGUUAUUUCUAAUAAAUGUUGUGUACAUUUCCAACAUGCCGACUCUUUCUUGGCAUUCUUGUUACAUCGUUAGCAAUUUAGAGUGGCCAAAAUUUGUUAAAAUUCAAUGACAAUCAGCACUUUUUUUUGUUGAAUAUCUCAUUUUCACCAUAGGACAUGUUCUUAUCCAAUGGCUUGGCUUAUGUAUGGUCUUCUCUCUUCCCAAAUUUGAUACAGGGGACCAUUAAGGAUGAGCAUUACAAGGCAUGGAGUGUUGUAGAUAAGGUGUACGUUUCAGUCAACUUUAACAAUGAACAUUGGAUUUGUGGCAAAGUUGACUUACUCUAAUGAUUGAUUGUUGUGUACGACUCUAUGAAAAGUUACAUGAAGGAUCCAAAAAGGUUUCGUGAUAAGAUGUCUUAAUACAGGAUAAAGAUCCCACAUUUUCUUGGAGAUAUGUGUAUUCGUUUACCACUUGUAUACAUUUAUAUGUAUAUUGUAUUUGUGUAUAUGUAUA
This is a long non-coding RNA of Mangifera indica (mango), 1125 nucleotides long. RefSeq lists it as uncharacterized. The record is from RefSeq and is a predicted model, not a curated record. NCBI's taxonomy places the organism in Eukaryota, Viridiplantae, Streptophyta, Magnoliopsida, Sapindales, Anacardiaceae. The transcript is spliced from 3 exons.